RNAcentral lists this ribosomal RNA (407 nucleotides) under uncultured bacterium. Its description in RNAcentral is "partial 16S ribosomal RNA". It matches the Rfam family "Bacterial small subunit ribosomal RNA", at positions 30 to 526 of the family's 1533-position model. The record is from RNAcentral.
AUUGAACGCUGGCGGCAGGCCUAACACAUGCAAGUCGAGCGGAGCAGCGGACGGGUGAGUAAGGCCUAGGAAUCGGAAUGGUAGUGGGGGAUAACGACAGGAAACGGGCGCUAAUACCACAUCCUCUCACAUGCGCCUAGGUGGGAUUAGCUAGUUGGUGGGGUAGAGGCCUACCGAGGCGACGAUCCGUAACUGGUCUGAGAGGAUGAUCAGCCACACUGGAACUGAGACACGGUCCAGACUCCUACGGGAGGCAGCAGUGGGGAAUAUUGGACAAUGGGCGAAAGCCUGAUCCAGCCAUGCCGCGUGUGUGAAGAAGGUCUUCGGAUUGUAAAGUACUUUAAGUUGGGAGGCGUUACCAACAGAAUAAGCACCGGCUAACUCCGUGCCAGCAGCCGCGGUAAUAC